AUUGAACGCUGGCGGAAUGCUUUACACAUGCAAGUCGAACGGCAGCACGGGGCAACCUGGUGGCGAGUGGCGAACGGGUGAGUAAUGCAUCGGAAACGUGCCCAAUCGUGGGGGAUAACGUAGCGAAAGUUACGCUAAUACCGCAUACGAUCUACGGAUGAAAGCGGGGGAGUCGCAAGACCUCGCGCGAGUGGAGCGGCCGAUGUCAGAUUAGGUAGUUGGUGGGGUAAAGGCUCACCAAGCCAACGAUCUGUAGCUGGUCUGAGAGGACGACCAGCCACACUGGAACUGAGACACGGCCCAGACUCCUACGGGAGGCAGCAGUGGGGAAUAUUGGUCAAUGGACGCAAGUCUGAACCAGCCAUGCCGCGUGCAGGAUGACGGCCCUAUGGGUUGUAAAACUGCUUUUUAUACGGGGAAAAAAAUCCUUGCUCGUGAGCGAGGUUGAUGGUACUGUAAGAAUAAGGAUCGGCUAAACUCCGUGCCAGCAGCCGCGGUAA
RNAcentral lists this ribosomal RNA (500 nucleotides) under uncultured bacterium. RNAcentral describes it as "bacterial SSU rRNA". It matches the Rfam family "Bacterial small subunit ribosomal RNA", at positions 30 to 523 of the family's 1533-position model. The record is from RNAcentral.